UACACUCCUACGGGAGGCAGCAGUGGGGAAUAUUGGACAAUGGGCGCAAGCCUGAUCCAGCCAUGCCGCGUGAGUGAUGAAGGCCCUAGGGUUGUAAAGCUCUUUCACCGGUGAAGAUAAUGACGGUAACCGGAGAAGAAGCCCCGGCUAACUUCGUGCCAGCAGCCGCGGUAAUACGAAGGGGGCUAGCGUUGUUCGGAUUUACUGGGCGUAAAGCGCACGUAGGCGGACUAUUAAGUCAGGGGUGAAAUCCCGGGGCUCAACCCCGGAACUGCCUUUGAUACUGGUAGUCUUGAGUUCGAGAGAGGUGAGUGGAAUUCCGAGUGUAGAGGUGAAAUUCGUAGAUAUUCGGAGGAACACCAGUGGCGAAGGCGGCUCACUGGCUCGAUACUGACGCUGAGGUGCGAAAGCGUGGGGAGCAAACAGGAUUAGAUACCCCGGUAGUCC
RNAcentral lists this ribosomal RNA (447 nucleotides) under uncultured organism. RNAcentral's name for it is "partial 16S ribosomal RNA". It matches the Rfam family "Bacterial small subunit ribosomal RNA", at positions 332 to 796 of the family's 1533-position model. The record is from RNAcentral.